GGGACGUCGCUUUGCUGAGGGCGGGCGCACGAGGGGAACACCUACCUGUCUUCGUAUCUCUGGGCCGUUCUCAUCGAAAAGGAAAAGGAAGGAGCGGGAGAGAGAGAGAGAGAGAGGAAAACGAUAGAGGGUUUUGGAUUUGGAGGGGAAGAGAUGGAGGGGAGGAAGGAUGUGGGAAUUCUCGCCAUGGAUAUCUACUUCCCUCCCACUUUCGUUCAACAGGAAGCCCUUGAGGCUUAUGAUGGGGCGAGUAAGGGAAAGUACACCAUUGGACUUGGGCAAGAUUGCAUGGCCUUUUGCACAGAACUGGAAGAUGUGAUAUCCAUGAGCUUGACAGUUGUUACAUCCCUCCUGGAGAAGUAUCAGAUUGAUCCAAAACAAAUUGGUCGCCUAGAAGUUGGUAGUGAGUCAGUGAUAGACAAGAGUAAGUCUGUCAAGACCUGGCUGAUGCAAAUAUUUGAGGAAUUUGGUAACACUGAUGUUGAAGGAGUUGACUCGACAAAUGCAUGUUAUGGGGGAACGGCUGCUCUAUUUAACUGUGUCAAUUGGGUGGAGAGUAGCUCUUGGGAUGGGCGAUAUGGACUAGUUGUUUGCACAGACAGUGCGGUUUACGCAAAAGGGCCUGCUCGGCCUACUGGGGGCGCAGGUGCUAUUGCAAUGCUGAUUGGACCAAAUGCACCCAUUCCUUUCGAAAGUAAAUACAGGGGAACUCACAUGAUUCAUGUUUAUGACUUUUACAAGCCCAACCUUGCAAGUGAAUAUCCGGUUGUUGAUGGAAAACUAUCACAAACAUGCUAUCUCAUGGCACUCGAUUCAUGUUACAAACGUUUUUGUAGCAAGUAUGAAAAGUUUGAGGGAAAGCAAUUUUCAAUUUCUGAUGCAGACUAUUUUGUUUUCCAUUCUCCAUAUAACAAGCUUGUACAGAAAAGUUUUGCUCGGCUCUACUUUAAUGACUUCUUACGCAGUCCAAGUUCUGUUGAGAAGGGUGCAAGGGAAAAGCUGGAGCCUUUUUCAACCUUGACUGGUGAUGAAAGCUAUCAGAGUCGUGAGCUUGAAAAGACUUCUCAGCAAGUUGCAAAGCACUUAUAUGAUGAAAAGGUUCAACCGUCUACUUUGCUGCCAAAACAGAUUGGGAACAUGUACACAGCAUCUAUUUAUGCUGCAUUUGCAUCUCUUCUUCAUAACAAGCAUAGCACUCUGGGGAACCAACGGGUUGUGAUGUUCUCAUAUGGUAGUGGCCUUUCUUCUACAAUGUUCUCACUCAAACUUCAGGAGGGUCAACAUCCCUUCAGCCUAUCCAACAUUAAUGCUGUGCUGAAUGUUUCAGAGAAGCUGAAGGCAAGACAUGAGUUUACACCUGAGAAGUUUGUCGAAACUUUGAAGUUGAUGGAGCACCGAUAUGGAGCCAAGGAUUUUGUGACAAGCAAAGACACAAGCUUACUGUCCCCUGGAACAUUCUACCUCACAAAUGUUGAUUAUAUGUAUCGGAGGUAUUAUACCAAGAAGGGUGCCGAGGGCCUGUUAAAUAAUAGAUGAUGUUAUUACUGUCCCCGUUCUUUCUAAAUGCCAAGCCGACGAGCUUAGCGCGCUUAGCAUGCCUUAUUAGAAGCAGGUGAAUAGAAAGUCCUCAACAGUGCGAGGGAAAGCUACCAGACUCAGCCUGGUUGUCCAAUGGCCUCAUGCCCAAUGGGUGGCUAUUCAGGCUAUGAAUCCUGGUUCUCCAGUGAUGGCAAUGGGUGGUGGUUAGCAUUUUCCUCUUAGGAAUUCCCCCAACCAGCUCACAGGGGGAAUCCUGGCUCCAGGUUUUCUUGGGCUCUCCCUAUAGUAUAUGCUAGGAUUGAGGCUAAUUUUCGAUUAGUCUACCAAUACUAACACAAUUUCAAUAAUUUCUUUGUUGCGGAGCUUCCUAGAACUGUGACUGGAUGAUAGGUGAGGAAAAUUCCCCUGCACUUCAAUAAAAAAAACUAAUCAAUCAUCGACCAACUAUGGUAACAUUACAUUGAUUGAGUUUAAUUAAUCAUUUAUGUCUUAACGCUGGAAAGGGCCAUGGUGGGCCAUUUGUAACACAUAUGAGAGGCCAUAUGUGAGUAGUUUCUUGCUGGAAUUAACUACUCAAGUCAAAGCUAUCUGAACAAGAAACGUUAUCAAUGCAAGAAAAUGUCAGACAACCAGUGAAAGAAAGUUAUCGAGGUAAGAAACCAUCCAAAAGAAGAUAGUUAUUGCUGAAAAUAGCUGUCAAUCUGCAUCAUUAAUGUAAAAGAGGAUUCAUUUUGCUCUCAUCGCACUCCCAAAGUCUUAUGGGCAAUUGAUGUCAAAUCCAACAUGAACAAGACUUCUAUGCCUCUUCAAUGUAUUUUCUCUUGUCUUCUCUCUCUUUGGAGCGGAGGGUCAUC
This is an RNA transcript of Phoenix dactylifera (date palm), 2393 nucleotides long. It is a transcript of the gene named hydroxymethylglutaryl-CoA synthase-like, with no coding region annotated. NCBI's taxonomy places the organism in Eukaryota, Viridiplantae, Streptophyta, Magnoliopsida, Arecales, Arecaceae. The record is from RefSeq and is a predicted model, not a curated record.